This 253-nucleotide ribosomal RNA is filed under the name uncultured bacterium. Its description in RNAcentral is "partial 16S ribosomal RNA". It matches the Rfam family "Bacterial small subunit ribosomal RNA", at positions 524 to 776 of the family's 1533-position model. The record is from RNAcentral.
UGCGGAGGGUGCCAGAAUUAAUCGGAUUUAUUGGGCGUAAAGAGCACGUAGGUGGGAAGGUCAGUCAGAUGUGAAAUCCCGAAGCUCAACUUCGGAACAGCAUUUGAUACUGCCUUUCUUGAGGGUAGACGGAGAAAGUGGAAUUCCACAAGAAGCGGUGAAAUGCGUAGAUAUGUGGAAGAAUACCAGUGGCGAAGGCGACUUUCUAGUUUAUUCCUGACACUGAGGUGCGAAAGCUAGGGGAGCAAACAGG